GGUUGUUUUACCAACCCCACCCAUACACACAAUAGGAAUAACACCAAGAUUACUCCCAUUUGCAUCACUGGACAGUAGCAGCUUAAUUAUGGCUUCCUUGUCAUCACUCCUACCAUAAACAACAGAUUCAUCAACCAGAGAAGUGGUUGGUAUUUUUUAUGAUGAUGGUUUCGCCCAAAUACCCUCACUCAAACCAAGGACAUCAUUUUCUUUUACUAAAUAUUCUAGUCUCUCAAGAAUAACUUAACUUUUCUUCCAUACCCUUUCUAAACGGAUUAUGAGGAGAAAAAAUGCCUCACCUUUUGUCUUCCAGACCCAGCUUCCACUCCCAAUCGUAGAGCUUUAAAAGCAAUCUCAUCCAACAAGACAUCAGCUUCAUAGACAGCAUCUUUAAGCUCAUCAAGUCUGCUUCUUCUCUGCAUCAUCAAGCACUCCAUUCACAGAUAUCAUAGUUGUCUUCAACUUCUUGAGCAAUGAAUCAUUAAGCUUUCGACCCUUGAAGAAAUCAAGAACCUCACGAGAAGCCAUCCUCUCUAACAGAACCUGAAGGAAAGCGGAGAGCAAUGACCCUCCCACCAACGCUUCUCCUCCUUGCGAAG
This 599-nucleotide unclassified non-coding RNA is filed under the name Hevea brasiliensis (rubber tree). Lineage: Eukaryota; Viridiplantae; Streptophyta; Magnoliopsida; Malpighiales; Euphorbiaceae. The record is from RNAcentral.